This 1021-nucleotide ribosomal RNA is filed under the name uncultured bacterium. Its description in RNAcentral is "bacterial SSU rRNA". It matches the Rfam family "Bacterial small subunit ribosomal RNA", at positions 357 to 1376 of the family's 1533-position model. The record is from RNAcentral.
AGGAAUAUUGGUCAAUGGGCGAGAGCCUGAACCAGCCAAGUCGCGUGAGGGAAGACGGCCCUACGGGUUGUAAACCUCUUUUGUCAGGGAGCAAGAACAGAUACGUGUAUCUGAGCGAGAGUACCUGAAGAAAAAGCAUCGGCUAACUCCGUGCCAGCAGCCGCGGUAAUACGGAGGAUGCGAGCGUUAUCCGGAUUUAUUGGGUUUAAAGGGUGCGUAGGCGGAGUGCCAAGUCAGCGGUAAAAUUUCGGGGCUCAACCCCGUCGUGCCGUUGAAACUGGCGCCCUUGAGUGGGCGAGAAGUAUGCGGAAUGCGUGGUGUAGCGGUGAAAUGCAUAGAUAUCACGCAGAACUCCGAUUGCGAAGGUAGCAUACCGGCGCCCGACUGACGCUGAAGCACGAAAGCGUGGGUAUCGAACAGGAUUAGAUACCCUGGUAGUCCACGCAGUAAACGAUGGAUACUAGCUGUCCGGGACGAUUGGGUCCUGGGUGGCACAGCGAAAGCGUUAAGUAUCCCACCUGGGGAGUACGCCGGCAACGGUGAAACUCAAAGGAAUUGACGGGGGCCCGCACAAGCGGAGGAACAUGUGGUUUAAUUCGAUGAUACGCGAGGAACCUUACCCGGGCUCAAACGCUGGAGGAAUACUUUUGAAAGGAGGUAGCUCUACGGAGCCUCCAGCGAGGUGCUGCAUGGUUGUCGUCAGCUCGUGCCGUGAGGUGUCGGCUUAAGUGCCAUAACGAGCGCAACCCCCAUCGACAGUUGCUAACGAGUAGAGUCGAGGACUCUGUCGAGACUGCCGGCGCAAGCUGCGAGGAAGGCGGGGAUGACGUCAAAUCAGCACGGCCCUUACGUCCGGGGCGACACACGUGUUACAAUGGCAGGUACAGCGGGAAGCCACCUGGCGACAGGGAGCGGAACCCGAAAGCCUGUCUUAGUUCGGAUUGGAGUCUGCAACCCGACUCCAUGAAGCUGGAUUCGCUAGUAAUCGCGCAUCAGCCACGGCGCGGUGAAUACGUUCCCG